UACGGAGGGUGCAAGCGUUGCUCGGAAUUAUUGGGCGUAAAGGGUAGGUAGGUGGUCUCGUUUGUCUGGGGUGAAAACUCGGGGCUUAACCCCGGGCCUGCAGUGGGUACGGGCAGACUAGAGUGCGGUAGGGGGAGACUGGAAUUCCUGGUGUAGCGGUGAAAUGCGCAGAUAUCAGGAGGAACACCGGUGGCGAAGGCAGGGUCUCUGGGCAUUAACUGACGCUGAGGAGCGAAAGCAUGGGGAGCGAACAGG
Molecule: ribosomal RNA, 255 nt
Filed under: uncultured bacterium
Lineage: Bacteria
Description: partial 16S ribosomal RNA
Rfam family: Bacterial small subunit ribosomal RNA
Source: RNAcentral